Molecule: unclassified non-coding RNA, 335 nt
Filed under: uncultured fungus
Lineage: Eukaryota; Fungi
Description: sequence contains ITS1
Source: RNAcentral
GAAAUGCGAUAAGUAAUGUGAAUUGCAGAAUUCAGUGAAUCACCGGCAAACAUCCAAAUCCAAACCCAAGUUUUGGAUUUCGGUCCAUGCUUGGGUUUGGAUUUGGAUGUUUGCCGGUGAUGAACCGACUCAUCUUAAAAGUAUUAGCUGGAUCUGUCUAUAUGACUGGUUUGACUUGGCAUAAUAAGUAUUUUGCUGAGGACAUCUUCGGAUGGCCAGUACCUAGACUACUGUCUGCUAACUAAACCAUCACUUUAAGUGCAUCUUUGGAUGUUACUCAUUGUGUAACUUUGACAUCUGGCCUCAAAUCAAGUAGGACUACCCGCUGAACUUAA